UACGGAAGGCAGCAGUGGGGAAUAUUGCACAAUGGGCGAAAGCCUGAUGCAGCUAUGCCGCGUGUAUGAAGAAGGCCUUAGGGCUGUAAAGUACUUUCAUCGGGGAGGAAAAACAAAACUAAUAAUUUUAUUUCUUGACGUUACCCGAAAAAGAAGCACCGGCUAACUCCGUGCCAGCAGCCGCGGUAAUACGGAGGGUGCUAGCGUUAAUCAGAAUUACUGGGCGUAAAGAGCACGUAGGUGGUUUUUUUAAGUCAGAUGUGAAAUCCCUGGGCUUAACCUAGGAACUGCAUUUUGAAACUGAAAUACUAGAGUAUCGUAGAGGGAGGUAGAAUUCUAGGUGUAGCGGUGAAAUGCGUAGAUAUCUGGAGGAAUACCUGUGGCGAAAGCGGCCUCCUAAACGAAUACUGACACUGAGGUGCGAAAGCGUGGGGAGCAAACAGGAUUAGAUACC
Molecule: ribosomal RNA, 454 nt
Filed under: uncultured bacterium
Lineage: Bacteria
Description: bacterial SSU rRNA
Rfam family: Bacterial small subunit ribosomal RNA
Source: RNAcentral